AACGUAGGAGGCGAGCGUUAUCCGGAUUUACUGGGUGUAAAGCGCGUGCAGGCGGUUGGCUAAGUUGGGUGUGAAGCUCCUGGCUCAACUGGGAGAGGUCGCUCAAGACUGGCCGACUGGAGAGCAGUAGGGAAGGUGGAAUUCCGGGUGUAGUGGUGAAAUGCGUAGAUAUCCGGAGGAACACCAGUGGCGAAGGCGGCCUUCUGGACUGCUUCUGACGCUCAGACGCGAAAGCUAGGGGAGCAAACGGGG
Molecule: ribosomal RNA, 252 nt
Filed under: uncultured bacterium
Lineage: Bacteria
Description: partial 16S ribosomal RNA
Rfam family: Bacterial small subunit ribosomal RNA
Source: RNAcentral